GCCGAAGUGGUGAAAUUGGUAGACACGCACGUUUCAGAGGCGUGUGCGCUUGCGCGCGUGGGGGUUCGAGUCCCCCUUUCGGCAC
RNAcentral lists this transfer RNA (85 nucleotides) under Saprospiraceae bacterium. RNAcentral describes it as "tRNA-Leu". It matches the Rfam family "tRNA". From Rfam's summary of the family: Transfer RNA (tRNA) molecules are approximately 80 nucleotides in length. The record is from RNAcentral. Lineage: Bacteria; Pseudomonadati; Bacteroidota; Saprospiria; Saprospirales; Saprospiraceae.